GACGAACGCUGGCGGCGUGCUUAACACAUGCAAGUCGAACGGAAAGGCCCUGCUUUUGUGGGGUGCUCGAGUGGCGAACGGGUGAGUAACACGUGAGUAACCUGCCCUUGACUUUGGGAUAACUUCAGGAAACUGGGGCUAAUACCGGAUAGGAGCUCCUGCUGCAUGGUGGGGGUUGGAAAGUUUCGGCGGUGGGGGAUGGACGCGCGGCUUAUCAGCUUGUUGGUGGGGUAGUGGCUUACCAAGGCUUUGGCGGGUAGCCGGCCUGAGAGGGUGACCGGCCACAUUGGGACUGCGAUACGGCCCAGACUCCUACGGGAGGCAGCAGUGGGGAAUAUUGCACAAUGGGCGGAAGCCUGAUGCAGCAACGCCGCGUGCGGGAUGACGGCCUUCGGGUUGUAAACCGCUUUCGCCUGUGACGAAGCGUGAGUGACGGUAAUGGGUAAAGAAGCACCGGCUAACUACGUG
RNAcentral lists this ribosomal RNA (468 nucleotides) under uncultured bacterium. RNAcentral describes it as "partial 16S ribosomal RNA". It matches the Rfam family "Bacterial small subunit ribosomal RNA", at positions 28 to 507 of the family's 1533-position model. The record is from RNAcentral.